Molecule: ribosomal RNA, 497 nt
Filed under: uncultured bacterium
Lineage: Bacteria
Description: partial 16S ribosomal RNA
Rfam family: Bacterial small subunit ribosomal RNA
Source: RNAcentral
GACGAACGCUGGCGGCGUGCCUAAUACAUGCAAGUUGAGCGCUGAAGGUUGGUACUUGUACCAACUGGAUGAGCAGCGAACGGGUGAGUAACGCGUGGGGAAUCUGCCUUUGAGCGGGGGACAACAUUUGGAAACGAAUGCUAAUACCGCAUAAAAACUUUAAACACAAGUUUUAAGUUUGAAAGAUGCAAUUGCAUCACUCAAAGAUGAUCCCGCGUUGUAUUAGCUAGUUGGUGAGGUAAAGGCUCACCAAGGCGAUGAUACAUAGCCGACCUGAGAGGGUGAUCGGCCACAUUGGGACUGAGACACGGCCCAAACUCCUACAGGAGGCAGCAGUAGGGAAUCUUCGGCAAUAGACGAAAGUCUGACCGAGCAACGCCGCAUGAGGGAAGAAGGUUGUCGUAUCGUAAAACUCUGUUGGUAGGGAAGAACGUUGGUGAGAGUGGAAAGCUCAUCAAGUGACGGUAACUACCCAGAAAGGGACGGCUAACUACGUG